UGAGGAAUAUUGGUCAAUGGACGGAAGUCUGAACCAGCCAAGUAGCGUGCAGGAUGACGGCCCUAUGGGUUGUAAACUGCUUUUGUAUGGGGAUAAAGUUAGGGACGUGUCCCUAUUUGCAGGUACCAUACGAAUAAGGACCGGCUAAUUCCGCGCCAGCAGCCGCGGUAAUACGGAAGGUCCAGGCGUUAUCCGGAUUUAUUGGGUUUAAAGGGAGCGUAGGCUGGAGAUUAAGUGUGUUGUGAAAUGUAGACGCUCAACGUCUGAAUUGCAGCGCAUACUGGUUUCCUUGAGUACGCACAACGUUGGCGGAAUUCGUCGUGUAGCGGUGAAAUGCUUAGAUAUGACGAAGAACUCCGAUUGCGAAGGCAGCUGACGGGAGCGCAACUGACGCUUAAGCUCGAAGGUGCGGGUAUCAAACAGGAUUAGAUACCCUGGUAGUCCGCACAGUAAACGAUGGAUGCCCGCUGUUGGUACCUGGUAUCAGCGGCUAAGCGAAAGCAUUAAGCAUCCCACCUGGGGAGUACGCCGGCAACGGU
This 539-nucleotide ribosomal RNA is filed under the name uncultured bacterium. RNAcentral describes it as "bacterial SSU rRNA". It matches the Rfam family "Bacterial small subunit ribosomal RNA", at positions 355 to 895 of the family's 1533-position model. The record is from RNAcentral.